UUCCAUACGUGAUUGUGACAUUUCUUUGAAAACGUUAGCAGAUUGAUUGUAUUUUGCACCACACUGUACAUACAGCCACAUUUCAAUAUAAUAAUAAUAAAAGAAAUAAUAAUAAAGUAUUACAAGUUACAAACGUGAAAAUUGUAGGAAGCAAGGAAAUAUCCACGAGAAACAACGAAAAAUAUAUAGGUAAAAAAUAUUUUGUAGAUUUCAUUCCAGAGACAGAGAUGGUUGAUAUCAUAAAUACUGCAAAAACCAAGAAACACAAAGUUUCUAAAAAGACUAAGAAAUCGUGGAGAAAACAUGUGGACAUUAACGAUGUAGACGCAUUUCUUGAUAACAAGAGAUUGGAGGAGCGAUUGGGCGCUCCUUUCUCUGAGAGACCAGAUUCUGAGUUGUUUACCAUUGACAAGAAUGCCAGUGCGACUAAGCCUGUGAAAAGUGCCAAACGCGAGGCCAGACUAGCUUUGAAAAGCAAAGAGCCAAGAUGCUUUGCUUCUUUAAAACCACAUACAAAAGUUCCCGAUCCAAUCUCCAAAAGAAACCGAGUAAGAACCAAGGAGGAACGUAUGAGCUCCGUAUUACGGCAACGCGAAGCGGAGAGAAAAAUGAAGGGUAUUCUUAAAUUGAAAGAGAAAGUAGUUUUGAAAAAUAGAGCGCUUGCAAAAGCCGCUGCAGCUAAACGUCCUAAGAGAGGAGAGAUUACAGGUGAUGCAUGGCAAGUCACGAAGAAUGACUUAUUGCCAGAAAAAGUCACUGAUUGGAUGUCCUCUGAUAGUCUUCGGCAUACGAUAAAACAUUUAGGAGUUAAUAAAAGAAAAGUACCCUCAUCUUUGGGUAAAAAGCCAUCCAUUUUACCAGCAGUGGAAGCGCCGCAUCCAGGUACAUCUUAUAACCCAUCAUAUACUGAUCACCAAGAGUUGUUGCAUGAAAUAGCUCAAAAAGAAUUGGAGCUUAUCAAGCAGGAGAAGCAUUUGGACAGAGUCACAACUCAAAUGUUUAAAAAGAUUCCGUUAAACAAACGAGAUGAAUAUAUGAUGAAAGAAAUGUCGGAAGGUUUACCAAAUAUAAAUAAAACCACAGUAAAUUCAAAAUCUGCUCAAGAGGACCAAGAAGAAGAAGAAGAAGAUUCAUCUGUAGUAGGAAAUGAUAAAACUGUAAAGAACAUCAAGAAGACACUUGUGCAAAGAAGAAAACAACGAGAACAGAAGCAAGAGGCUAACGAGCGUGCAUUGAUGAAAUGUGAGAAGAAAAAACUUUCCGAUGUUUAUAAAUUGAACAUUUUACAGAAGCAAAUAGAGGCCAAAGAGAAGAAAGAAGAACUCUUACGACAGAAACGAAUGAAGAAAUGUGAAAGAGAAUCUACUAUGCCAAGAACCCUUGGUAGGAUAAAAUUUGAGCCCAUGGAUUCUGAUUUUCAGCUUAUGGAAGAGUUAACUGGUAAUUUGAGAAACUGUAAACCCAGCAUGAAUUUACUGAAAGAUCGCUACAAAUCGCUUCAACAAAGAAACAUUGUCGCACCGACCGUCAUCAAAUUGAAACGGGAAAAGGCAAAGAUGAAAAAAUUCGUGAAACCAGAUCAUAAAAUAGAUCUGGACAUUGUCAAGAGACAAGGCAAGAAAAACAGGAUGUCAAAGACAAGAAAGACUUAAUGCUGUUUCCUAUUCUAAGAUUUUUAUAUUUCGUUCAAAAUCGUAUAUAUGUAAUUCAUAUAUUAUCGUUGAAAGAUAUAUCAAGAGCGCCUGCAGAAUGGCAACCUGCUUCUGACGUUGGUAAGCAGGUUAUCACUCUAUAUAGGCUUCAACAAGUGACGUUUGGCGAAAGACAACUUCGAAAUUAAUUUCAAAAAUUUCCGCCACAA
This 1861-nucleotide unclassified non-coding RNA is filed under the name Ooceraea biroi (clonal raider ant). Its description in RNAcentral is "ribosome biogenesis protein NOP53, transcript variant X5". Lineage: Eukaryota; Metazoa; Arthropoda; Insecta; Hymenoptera; Formicidae. The record is from RNAcentral.